This 82-nucleotide non-coding RNA is filed under the name Pelotomaculum thermopropionicum. RNAcentral describes it as "c-di-GMP sequence". It matches the Rfam family "c-di-GMP-I riboswitch aptamer". From Rfam's summary of the family: GEMM was predicted in a large-scale screen for bacterial structured RNA regulatory elements. The record is from RNAcentral. Lineage: Bacteria; Bacillati; Bacillota; Clostridia; Eubacteriales; Desulfotomaculaceae.
UUCCGACAAAGGUAAACCCGGCGAAAGCCGGGGGCACAAAGCCAGGGGCCUAAAGCGAAAGCCAGGGCAGCCGGCUGCCGGA